AGGGUGUAAACGCUGCAGACUUGGUGUUGGAAGUCCUUUGGGGGCAUUCAGUGCCGGAGAGAAAUUGUUAAGUCUGCUACUUGGGGAGUACGUCCGCAAGGAUGAAACUUAAAGGAAUUGGCGGGGGAGCACCGCAACGGGAGGAGCCUGCGGUUUAAUUGGACUCAACGCCGGACAACUCACCGGGAACGACAGCAAUAUGUAGGCCAGGCUGAAGACCUUGCCUGAAUCGCUGAGAGGAGGUGCAUGGCGUAGACGUCU
Molecule: ribosomal RNA, 261 nt
Filed under: uncultured archaeon
Lineage: Archaea
Description: partial 16S ribosomal RNA
Rfam family: Archaeal small subunit ribosomal RNA
Source: RNAcentral